GAAGUCCCCAUCGGGCAAAGUCUAACCAACAGCCCGUACCGAGUGUUGCGCGGUCAGCGGAAUCGGUUGCAACAUCGGUGAACAAAGAUCGUGAAGCGUACACAGGGAACACUGCAGGCCGCAGGGGAGACGUACCUCCCCAAAGCAAUUCAGCCUCGUCAGAGUAAUCAAUGCAGUCGGCGACGGUUUUAACGUAUCGGAAGCCAGUACAGAGGAAUCGAAUGGUGAGAUUCCCGAGGGGCUGCCGGGGUCCAAGAGCG
Non-coding RNA from Desulfobulbaceae bacterium BRH_c16a, 260 nucleotides. NCBI's taxonomy places the organism in Bacteria, Pseudomonadati, Thermodesulfobacteriota, Desulfobulbia, Desulfobulbales, Desulfobulbaceae. The record is from Rfam.